RNAcentral lists this ribosomal RNA (394 nucleotides) under uncultured bacterium. RNAcentral describes it as "bacterial SSU rRNA". It matches the Rfam family "Bacterial small subunit ribosomal RNA", at positions 30 to 425 of the family's 1533-position model. The record is from RNAcentral.
AUUGAACGCUGGCGGCAUGCCUUACACAUGCAAGUCGAACGGCAGCACGGGGCAACCUGGUGGCGAGUGGCGAACGGGUGAGUAAUGCAUCGGAACGUGCCAUUGAGUGGGGGAUAACGUAGCGAAAGUUGCGCUAAUACCGCAUAUUCUGUGAGCAGGAAAGCAGGGGGACCGCAAGGCCUUGCGCUCUUUGAGCGGCCGAUGUCAGAUUAGCUAGUUGGUGAGGUAACGGCUUACCAAGGCGACGAUCUGUAGCGGGUCUGAGAGGAUGAUCCGCCACACUGGAACUGAGACACGGUCCAGACUCCUACGGGAGGCAGCAGUGGGGAAUUUUGGACAAUGGGCGCAAGCCUGAUCCAGCCAUGCCGCGUGAGUGAAGAAGGCCUUCGGGUUG